UACAUAAAACACACUCACAAUUAGUUCAUACAUGGGUUACUUAACAUGUUGUUGUUUCUCUCUGUUGUCGCCGGUCCAUCUGCUGGAGGGAGUCGACAGAAAAGUCUCUGGUUGCGUUCCUAGUGGAUACGUCAGGCAUACCCAUGUUGUCGCAUAGAAUAGAUGUUUCGGCGGUUGUCGGUAUUCUUCGUCCUCGGCUACGUACAUUUCCAGCUGCAGACUGAAAAGGCCUCGUAUAACAUUUGCUCCUUCUGAGAUCCACCUCUAAUUUCACAGCAAGGAAGAAAUGGUUACAUGUCCCUUAUAUAGUGGGAGGUGAUAAUACAAUCAUAUUGUUUACACAACAGUUCUUCUAUACAUCAAUAGUUCUGGAACACAAUGGCCUUGUGUUAGGGUGCAGACAUACAAGUAGUCUAUGAAACGCAAAACAUCACAGUCCAACACAGAACAUAUCCCUUGAGAAGUUACAACAGCUCACCCCAAAUUCUUCCACCACAACAUCUUUCAAAACAGAUUUGAUGCUCAGUACAUAUUUGUCAAACUGAUACCAGUGGAUAAUCAAGCACAAUACAAACAUUUCAGUUACCACGCCUGUCCUCCAAUAUUGCACAGCACUUUAGCUAAGACAGGGAGGGAGUUGAUAGAUAGCUAAACCAAAGCAAAUGUAAUGGACUUCCGCAUUUGGAUUAAU
This is a non-coding RNA of Salmo salar (Atlantic salmon), 691 nucleotides long. Lineage: Eukaryota; Metazoa; Chordata; Actinopteri; Salmoniformes; Salmonidae. The record is from RefSeq and is a predicted model, not a curated record.